RNAcentral lists this transfer RNA (73 nucleotides) under Candidatus Moraniibacteriota bacterium. RNAcentral's name for it is "tRNA-Lys". It matches the Rfam family "tRNA". Rfam says of the family: Transfer RNA (tRNA) molecules are approximately 80 nucleotides in length. Their secondary structure includes four short double-helical elements and three loops (D, anti-codon, and T loops). The record is from RNAcentral. Lineage: Bacteria; Candidatus Moraniibacteriota.
GCGUCGUUAGCUCAGUCGGUAGAGCAGUGGCCUUUUAAGCCAACGGUCGAGGGUUCGAUUCCCCCACGACGCA